AUGCAAAGAACUUUGAAAAGAGAGUUAAAGAGUACCUGAAAUUGCUGAAAGGGAAGCGAAGGAAACCAGUGCUGUUUCGUAUCAUUCUUCUUCUGCUGCUUGCGGCAGGAGCGCUGUGAUGCGGAGUCGGUCAGCAUGGGUUUGAAUCGGGACAAAUAGCUUUACAGGAGGCAGCUCAUUUACUGAGCGAUUACUGUUUAGUGUUGUCUUGGUUUGGAUCGAGGCUAGUCACUUGUGCUCGUGAUGCUGACAAAAUGGUUUUCUUUACCCCGUCUUGAAACACGGACCAAGGAGUCUAACAUAUGUGCGAGUAUAGGAGUGGCAAACUCCAAUGCGCAAUGAAAGUAACAGUGGUAUGACCUUAUGGGGCAAUAUCCGCCGGCCACAAUUCUUCGGAAGAAAGGUCUGAGUGUGAGCAUACAUGUUGGGACCCGAAAGAUGGUGAACUUUGCUUGAAUAGGAUGAAGCCACCGGAAACGGUGGUGGAGGUCCGUAGGGGUUCUGACGUGCAAAUCGAUCUUCAAAUUUGAGUAAAGGGGCGAAAGACUAAUCGAACCAUCUAGUAGCUGGUUCCCUCCGAAAUUUCCCUCAGGAUAGCUGCAAUCGAUGUCAAUUUUAUCA
RNAcentral lists this ribosomal RNA (621 nucleotides) under Chaetoceros cf. laciniosus 1 SEH-2013. Its description in RNAcentral is "eukaryotic LSU rRNA". It matches the Rfam family "Eukaryotic large subunit ribosomal RNA", at positions 364 to 1006 of the family's 3401-position model. The record is from RNAcentral. Lineage: Eukaryota; Bacillariophyta; Thalassiosirophyceae; Chaetocerotales; Chaetocerotaceae.